AUUGAACGCUGGCGGUAUGCUUAACACAUGCAAGUCGAACGGCAGCACGGUAGAGCUUGCUCUAUGGGUGGCGAGUGGCGGACGGGUGAGUAAUGCAUCGGGACCUACCCAGACGUGGGGGAUAACGUAGGGAAACUUACGCUAAUACCGCAUACGUCCUAAGGGAGAAAGCGGGGGAUCGCAAGACCUCGCGCGGUUGGAUGGACCGAUGUGCGAUUAGCUAGUUGGUAAGGUAAUGGCUUACCAAGGCGACGAUCGCUAGCUGGUCUGAGAGGAGGAUCAGCCACACUGGGACUGAGACACGGCCCAGACUCCUACGGGAGGCGGCAGUGGGGAAUAUUGGACAAUGGGCGCAAGCCUGAUCCAGCAAUACCGCGUGUGUGAAGAAGGCCCUCGGGUUGUAAAGCACUUUUAUCAGGAACGAAAUCUGCAAGGUUAAUACCCGUGCAGUCUGACGGUACCUGAGGGAUAAGCACCGGCUAACUCCGUGCCAGCCGCCGCCGUAA
RNAcentral lists this ribosomal RNA (506 nucleotides) under uncultured bacterium. RNAcentral's name for it is "partial 16S ribosomal RNA". It matches the Rfam family "Bacterial small subunit ribosomal RNA", at positions 30 to 523 of the family's 1533-position model. The record is from RNAcentral.